ACCGCAGACCGCUCUGCCGCCUUUCGGGGAGGAAAGUCCGGACAACACAGAGCACCGCACCGCCUAACCGGCGGAGUCGCGCCGAGAAGUCGGCGGGGCAUAGAAAGUGUCGCAGAAAAUAACUUCCCGUUAUAGAUAAGGCGUUGGUGGGGUAAACCCGCCUUCGCCGAGGCUACGGCGGGUAAAGGUGAAAACGUGCGGUAAGAGCGCACGGUUCCGGCUGGCAACAGUCGGGAGGGAUAAACCUUGCGGGUUGAAAUGCCAUGUACACCUUGUUUGCGCGCCGGAGUUUUGCUUCGGCUGCAGAUACGCGGCUCGCGUAGUUUCGUGCAAACGGAAGCAAGGGGGGUAGGCAGCGCAGAUCCCGAUGUAUAAAUCGUCGGGACCAGAUAAAUGACAGAGAUUU
RNAcentral lists this RNase P RNA (406 nucleotides) under Saprospiraceae bacterium. RNAcentral describes it as "partial RNase P RNA component class A". It matches the Rfam family "Bacterial RNase P class A", at positions 1 to 324 of the family's 367-position model. Rfam says of the family: Ribonuclease P (RNase P) is a ubiquitous endoribonuclease, found in archaea, bacteria and eukarya as well as chloroplasts and mitochondria. The record is from RNAcentral. Lineage: Bacteria; Pseudomonadati; Bacteroidota; Saprospiria; Saprospirales; Saprospiraceae.